RNAcentral lists this ribosomal RNA (544 nucleotides) under Megaphyllum sp. UWH-2001. RNAcentral describes it as "partial 16S ribosomal RNA". It matches the Rfam family "Bacterial large subunit ribosomal RNA", at positions 1797 to 2618 of the family's 2925-position model. The record is from RNAcentral. Lineage: Eukaryota; Metazoa; Arthropoda; Diplopoda; Julida; Julidae.
CCCCUGUUUAUCAAAAACAUGUUCUUUUGGUUUUAUUUAAAAGAUUGGCCUGCUCACUAAAUUUAAAGAGCUGCAGUAUUAUGACUGUACAAAGGUAGCAUAAUCAUUAGUUUUUUAAUUGGAGACUGGUAUGAAAGGUUUGACACGGAGGCACUGUCUUAAAUUUAAUAAUUGAAUUUUUCUUUUUUGUUAAAAGACAAAAAUGAUUAUAAGGGACAAGAAGACCCUUUUAAAGUUGAUUAAUAUUAUGAUAUUUUACGUUUAUUAUUAUUGUAUUAUCGUUUAGUUUAGUUUGGCUGGGGCGGCAAAUGUAAUUAAUAAAACAACAUUUAAAAUAAAUAUGGAAAAAGCUGUUUUUAAGGUCUUUAUAGAAGACAGAAAGAAAAAGUUACUAAGGGAUAACAGCCUAAUAUGUUUUAAGAGUUCUUAUUGACAAACAUGUUUGCGACCUCGAUGUUGGAUUAAGAUAAUCUUUUUAGCUGCAAGAGGCGUUUAGGUGGGUCUGUUCGACCUUUAAUAUCUUACAUGAUCUGAGUUCAACCGG